RNAcentral lists this ribosomal RNA (467 nucleotides) under uncultured bacterium. Its description in RNAcentral is "partial 16S ribosomal RNA". It matches the Rfam family "Bacterial small subunit ribosomal RNA", at positions 28 to 506 of the family's 1533-position model. The record is from RNAcentral.
GACGAACGCUGGCGGCGUGCUUAACACAUGCAAGUCGAACGGAAAGGCCCUGCUUUUGUGGGGUGCUCGAGUGGCGAACGGGUGAGUAACACGUGAGUAACCUGCCCUUGACUUUGGGAUAACUUCAGGAAACUGGGGCUAAUACCGGAUAGGAGCUCCUGCUGCAUGGUGGGGGUUGGAAAGUUUCGGCGGUUGGGGAUGGACUCGCGGCUUAUCAGCUUGUUGGUGGGGUAGUGGCUUACCAAGGCUUUGACGGGUAGCCGGCCUGAGAGGGUGACCGGCCACAUUGGGACUGAGAUACGGCCCAGACUCCUACGGGAGGCAGCAGUGGGGAAUAUUGCACAAUGGGCGGAAGCCUGAUGCAGCAACGCCGCGUGCGGGAUGACGGCCUUCGGGUUGUAAACCGCUAUCGCCUGUGACGAAGCGUGAGUGACGGUAAUGGGUAAAGAAGCACCGGCUAACUACGU